GAUGAAGAACGUAGCGAAAUGCGAUACGUAAUGUGAAUUGCAGAAUUCAGUGAAUCAUCGAGUCUUUGAACGCACAUUGCGCCCCCUGGUAUUCCGGGGGGCAUGUCUGUCCGAGCGUCAUUGCUGCCCUCAAGCACGGCUUGUGUGUUGGGCCUCCGUCCUCCUCCCGGGGGACGGGCCCGAAAGGCAGCGGCGGCACCGCGUCCGGUCCUCGAGCGUAUGGGGCUUCGUCACCCGCUCUUGUAGGCCCGGCCGGCGCUUGCCGACACAUCAAUCUUUUUUCCAGGUUGACCUCGGAUCAGGUAGGGAUACCCGCUGAACUUAAGCAUAUCAAUAACGGAGGA
This 344-nucleotide unclassified non-coding RNA is filed under the name soil metagenome. Its description in RNAcentral is "partial contains 5.8S ribosomal RNA, internal transcribed spacer 2, and large subunit ribosomal RNA". The stretch from base 1 to 120 matches the Rfam family "5.8S ribosomal RNA", at positions 35 to 154 of the family's 154-position model. The record is from RNAcentral.